CUGCUGAAAUAUAACCAUGAAGUGUGUUUCCCAAUUUGAAUUACAUGUUUACAACUGCAUGCGCAAAUAUGCAGCUUUGUCAGUCAUUGCGGGGAUGGACAGUGGGACGAAUCAGUCUCAGUACAGAUUAAAGAUGUUAAUGAUAACAUAUUGUUAUUAUAAUUUAAGUGUCUUGGAUGUCCAAAACUAAAACGUUUUGAAAGGUUAUUCGUAAAUGUUCAAAUGCACAAAGAGAAUUCCAUUCACCUGCAACAUCUGUGAGAUAAUCCAAUGAUUCCUUGUGGUAAGAGGGAGAAACUGAUGCAGAGCGGCAGAAGUGUGCAAGCCAUCCACAGAAAUCAGCUCUGAUUGUAAGUCUUAUUAAUUAAUAACAUCACAGCGAGGGCCGGGGCAUUAAGCGGAUUACGGGCAUACUUGUAAACCCACACAAUCUACUGGAUAUGAGCACUCUCAACUCGCGUUUGGCUGCAGGACCGGGAAUAUAUGUGCUCAGUUGAGUUAAACCUUCCCCAUUCAAAUCCCCGCUAAUUUGACGGUCCUCUAUACUCUCACAUUUGGUUUGGCCAGGGCCCACAAUGAUUGAUGUGGCAGAAAACCUUACUGGGAGACGCUGCAUGUUGUGUUGAUGGUCCACUUAACUCCAUAAUCAGGUGGAGGGGUGUUCGUGUGUGUGUCUGUGAUAUUGAUUGUCCCACUUUCUUGUCCCCCUUUUUUUAAAGCUCUUGCUAUGUUGGUGUGUUGGAUUACCUGGUUGGUUAUAUCUCCCCUUCCUGCAAUGAAAUUCCAGAUUGCCCCAUCCUCAAUGGUCAAAUAAAUUCUUACAGAAAAAGAAAUUGCAGCUGCGGGAACCAAAAUCGAUUUGAUUUGGAAUUGGGUCUGCAGCGACGCUGCCUUUGCAGGCUGAUAUUUUAUUCAGAGCUACCGACACGUCGCGGAGACAUUUGGGAAAAGCGAUACAUGUCUUUUAGAUAUGAAGUUGUUGUGCUAGCUGCCUUAUAAAUCAUGACUCCUCUCCCAAGCUUUCUCAUUGCCAUCCGGAAGUGUUAACAUCUUUUACAGCUCAAUUUCUUUUCCUUUUUUUACUGCAGCUACUGCUGCCUGAUUGGCCGCAGAGUAGUAUGAUGGUUGCCUCCGCCCUAUUUAUGUUUUUUAAAGAUGUAGAGGGGAAAUGUGAAAUAUGAAAGCUAUGAAAAAUGUGGAAGCUCAAGAAAAUGCCAGCUGUCGUUUGUGCCGUUAUAGUGGAUGAGGCGCGAGAAGGCUCGCUGAGACAGAGCGUGUCAUGUCAGGUGUUGAGCGUCCAACCGCGCGCCGUCUUGUUUUCACUCGCGAUCAGUCAUCAACGGCGGGGGCGACGCCGACAGCUGCCAGUGCAGGAAUUCUCUCUCAAUCAACCGGUUGAGGUAUUUUGUAGAAUUCAGCUCUUGUGCCUCCUUAAAAAAACAUUGGUUUAAAGCUGGUAGAUGUGUUGGUAUAAUAACGUAAUUGUGGUUCAAAAAUGCUAAAAUGAGGUAAAAAGGAAGAACAAAUCACCACAAUGUAACAAAUUGCUGUAAAUUUACGGUGCAUUUCUAACGGUAUCUUACAGUAUGUCAUAAUAUCUGUAACAUACAGUUACAUUUCCAUCCCUUGCUUGUAAAUUAACAGCCAAUGUCAUGAAUAAACAGUUAACGCUGUCAACUUACAAUAAUAGCAGACUACCGUAAUUUAACUGCAUGUUAAAUAUAUUUUAUGAAGUGGUGGAAAUACACAUACAAGUGCAGUGAACCACAAUCCACCUACAUCUGUUGUAGGUUAAUGUAUGGAAGCCCAUGUCAGCCACUGAAAAACCGGUCCUCUAAGUCAUCAUAAUGAGAUAGUAUCUCAUGAGAUACGAUGAUGAAUUUAAAUUACAGGACAUUACUAUACAUGCAGCUGUUACGUUUAUCCAAAAUGCCCACAGGUUUGACAUAAUUUUGUGGAGUAAUCUGGGGUUAGGUGUCUUGUUCAGGGACACUUGAACUUGGCACAGGGAGCAGCCAGGAUUCAAACCGCCAACCUUGUGCUGCACAGCACACCCUCCCUAUCCCAUGUGACGCCUUCGCCGUCGUUUCAUUGGCCGGAAUGUAAAGAUUAUAAAUAUUUGUAUUAUUCAAAGUGUUCAUUACCUGAAAGUCAUUUGAGUGUUAAUCGUGACCGACUGCUCCUGAACGUCACGUCAGACGCGUAAUCUCAGUUCAUCCAUAACACCUGUCAGUGCAGUUAAACAUCGGAGGAGUUUCUCAUUGCCUCGUCUCUCCAAGUAACGUUGGUAAGUGUUAUUUGCCUAGCAUGAUUAACAUUCUCCUUCCUUACAUCUUGUUGUCUUCCUCAACUUUGUAAUUUUAAUAUUUUACCAAUGACAGAGUUUCUAAAUAUUUAAUUUUGGUUUGUUUUACAGAGGUUAUAAGUAAACGGUAACACUCUGGUAUUUAUAACACAAAAACAGUAAUCGUAUGGUAACAAACUAAUCCAAUAUACGACAACAUACCGUAAAUUACGGUAGGGCACUGUAAAUAAAACACUAGUGUCAACUGCCAGUAAAUUGCAGUUAAUUCACAGUAAAAUUUGUUCAAGUUUACGGUAACAUACAGUAAUUAAUUUUACAGUAGCAUAAUGUAAAAACCAUUUACGGUAUUAUACCGUAAAAUAACGUUAAACUGUAACGUGGGAAAAAUGUAUGUCUAUGUACAUAGAAGUGAAAACAAAAGUGAAGUACAAUGCACAUUGCUUAUUUGACCUAAUUUGCUUUCCACGGUACUGUGUAUAUAUUCAUUUCCUGUUUAGUGAGUUAUUCCCGACAUUUGGCCUCCACCUUUUUAGCGAUGUGGCCAUGCUUUGUCCAACGUCAUAAUAAUCUCGUAAAUGGUGGAUAGUAGGAGAAGCUAGAGGUCUAGCACACCUAGAGCUGAACUUUAAAUGUCAAUCAGCCUUCAUGUAUCACAGUGGUUUCCCCACUCAAUUUCUGAUGGAGAAAUCAACAUAGAGGAAACAUAGUUUACUGUUAGUUUCAAACAAUCAUACAGUCCUUUGUUGCUCUUCUGAGGUCAAGACCACAUUUUGUCCUUAAAAUUUAGCAGAAGGCGAAGCUGAACAUAAAAGUUUUCAGUCUUGUUUUAAACGUGGUCAGAGUUGGGGCAAGUCUUAAAUCUUCAGGAAGUUUAUUCCAGCUGUUUGUUGCGUAGUAACUAAAUGAUGCUUUCCCAUGAUUUGUAUUUACUCUGGGAAUCACUAACUUGGUGUCUCCUGAUGAUUUUAAAGACAGGAGAACUACAUAAAGUAUUAUGUUAUGAGUAUUUUAAUUAGCCCAGAAAAACAAAAAAACAAAACAUACAUGGGGGUCACAUUCUCCUCGAAGGCCAAAAAGAAUCCACCGGUAUCAGCUUCCAUAAGGGUCUGAUUCUGUAUCGGGUGUGAUAUCACCGUCAGCAGCGUUUCCAACCGGAUGGAAUAUUUAAGGGGUUUGAUGUACGGUGGGCCACCACAUCCGUGCGUGUUCCCCCCCCCGGCACUAAUGAAGCCUGGAACUCUGGAUCUGGUGGACUGGAGGAGGGGUUGGGUAGGGGGAGAUCAUCAGAGAGAGGGGUCUCCCGGGUCCAGCCGCGACAGCCUGCAGGAAGGAGGCUUGCCUCGGCGGCCGUGAUGACCAAACGCGGCGCUGAUUGGACAUCUUGCAUGCAUUACGGAGGGUUAGAUGAUGCACUGUGUCCUUCAGCCCAGGAGAUCCGAUAACAAAGCCGAGCUGUAUAGGGUAAGGCGAUCCCGGCAGCAGGCCGCUGCCUCUGCUCCCAAAGAAACACCUCUCUGUUCCACCGCCGUGAAAGUGGAGACCUUGGGAUGCACACAAUAAAGAGUCGCAUGUGGACGCGAACAUGUGGAGAACAGGUAUGGGGGACAGGGGAAGGACUGUGUUGUGAAGGUCCUCGGAUGGAAGAAAAACAGGGGGGCGGAAAAAGGCCAUUUCAAAAAAUAAAACUCAAUGAGAACUUUUUCUCAUCUCCUUUCAUCAAAUAUUACCCCACCUUAUUUCCUAAUUUUGAAUGCAUCUUACUGUUUUUCUUUGGUAAUUUCUUCAUUUUAUUCAUUCACUAAGUUGUCACACAUAUUAUAUUUUGUAAUUUGGUAUUACAUUUUUGCACAAUCCUGCACAGAACAUGUUUAAUACUGUGAUACUGUUAUGUUUUAUCAGAGCAAUUUCAGAUCUUUAAAUUACAUAUAUAAAUAAAAAAGCAAAAAAUGGAUUUUAACAAGCAUUAAAUUAGAAGUGAAAAGCACAUUAAAACACACACACUGCAUUUCAAGCCAUAUUUAUUUCAAGACAUUAUCGGGAGCAAGGACGUAUAAUUAUUGAUUAUGUGAAUAAUGAAUAAUAAUGAAUUCAAAGAGAAGGCACCUUUCUUUCUUUCUUUCUUUAUUUACGUGGUCUUCAAGUGACAUAAGGACUUUUUACUUACAAAUUGCUCUGCGUGGAAACCUUCAAUGGCCUUUACAACCACACAGUCCCAGAGAAGAAACAAAAGCAGCACAUAAAUAGAAACGUGCAGUUAAUUUUUCUAACCUACUGUAUAGAUUUCACAUCUAUGACUGCUGCUUUCUGUAUUCCAGCCAUGCAGAGGCGUGACUAGAAAGAUAUACUGUGCAUUUGAUAACUGCCUCAUGAUUUAUUUUGAAAAUACACUUAACAUCAUUGAUAAAAAAAUAGCUCAACCUGGCCUAAUCCCAUUUGCUUAUUUUUCCUCCUGUGUGUAAAAGGUGUGGACCAGCGCCCUGAAAAAAGUCAGGCUAACAACAUUUCAAUAUGUUUUUUCUUUGUGGGGAGGGUUCAGACCUCAUGUCUGUGCAGAUGAAUGGUCGCUUUUGUGCUGAGAGAGAAAACCAGCCUCUGGCUGUAAUCAGCAGGCGACACUUUGGUUUAUAUGUGUCGACAUUUUUAUUCCUGACAAGAUCACGUCACUUGCAGUGAGAACAACAGCGUGAGUUACGAGGGUGUACUUUGUAUGGAGCCCGUCUUUGGUGCGUGGGAAAGACAAAUGGCGGACGUACAGUUCCCAUCCAGAGAAGAAAAGCAUCCAGAGAAGAAGAGAGAUGGCACGUCUGGCAAAUGAUCAUGUGGCACGGAGCAACAGAUUAUGUUCAGGGGGAAACAAAAGUUUGUCUCUACGUGGAGAUUUGUCUCCUGGCUCUGAGCUGACUCCUUUGCAAGGAUCUAUUGUUCUGCUGCAAAGACACAACAAGCUCACUGCGACCAACGGACCCCUCCACCUCCCUCCAUCAAAGAGGUGCAUGAUAAGUAAGUGCUCUCCUGCACAACCACCAGUUAACUCAAUUCAAAGCGGGAUUGGUCUCUUUCUUCUAUUUGUUUCCCAGAGAAAAUACAGUCACACUAUGCAAGUGUAGAUUUCAUAAGACUUGAAAGGAAAGCUUUAUCUGUUUAUGUGUUACUUUAUACAAUAACAGGGCCGCUGCAGUGAGGGAGGGACUGAUUUUUGGGUCAUUAAGCUUCUCAAACUUUUGUAGACAAAGGGCCUAAUUCAGAUUAAGAAUGACAACCUCCAAGCACCAAAACAAUAUACUGGGCUGUUUAGCGGUGAAAUGACUCCGUCAGCUGUAAUUACCAAACUAAUUACCAUAGCAACAUUUUUUGAAAUUGUUAUCCAUGUUAAAAUGAAGCACUGAGAAGUGAAAGCUGACGUGAUUAGUUUUCUUCCAAGAAAUCAUUACAUGUUAGAGGAUUGAAGAAUUAGAGGCAGACACGUCGGGACUUAUUAGAACGAAUCAAGCAGCAAGCGUAUUUGGUAUUUUCUCAAUUGUUUUCAAAUUUUUUCCGUUUCUGCACAUCCAGGCUGAAAUACACCUCUUGAGCUUUCAAAGUAAAACGACUUCAGCAUUUCUGUCAAAAGUCUCUGAACAAGGGUUUUUAGAGCUUGGGAGUUCUGUCAGAGAGUGGCAUAAAUGUAAAGGUUAAGUGCUUUUAUACAAAAACGUUAUAGUGUGGAUGUAGCCUUCGAGGGAUAUUGAUUUGGUUGGAUGGGAAAGGUUCCAUUCUAUACCUUUUUCACAUUUCCAAAUUCCCCAAAUCCCUCUCUAUAAUCAGACUAAGUCAGGCAACCUGCCCCUAGUUAGUCAAGGGUGGACACAUCAAUUAGUUAAUUUACUUUAGUCUAAUUAGUCUAAUCAAAUUAAAUAUUACAUUAAAUCAAAUCCCUUUUUGUGCAUUAACGCUGGUGUUUUUCACUGGCAAUCUGGGCUGAGGGGGAGGGCCUUUGACUCUCCUCCUAAAACGUUUGUGGCAUCAGACACUGUAAGGGUGGAGUAACAUAUCAUUAUGUAUAGUUUUUUUUUCUCAGCAUUUGAAUGAUAAAUGUCCCUAUUAUUACCAUGUUUUAGAGGGCUUAUCCCUGGGUGGUUUACCUCACCCCUAUGCAGUGGACUAGUCCAAUUAGGGUGGGGCCAGGUGAGGCAGUAAAGCCAAUAUACUGGGCUGGUGUAAAGUUGUUGGAAGCAGUCUGCUCUGUUGCAAGGCUGCACGCACGCACGCACCUUUCCUCAAUUUCAUUGGCGAUUCUGGUCAGUAUAACCUUUAUAAAUCCUUAAUGUCUUUAAAUAUUUUUUUAGUAGGCUAGGAUUGGUAAUUCUACACAGAUUUAUUUGAAACGUGUCUUGUGGAAAAAAACAAGUCCUCUUCAAUGAAAGGGAGUAGCAGCUCUACUUCCAAAAGUCAAGAUGACGACACUGAUGGCCUUUCCCUUCAGGACUAUCCCCAAAGCCACUACCCUAAAAGUAUCAUGAUGAAAAUAAUGAAAAAGGCCAUUUCUAGUACUCAUCUGUCAAGCCAGCUGAUUGAGGAGGACUGGUGACGAGAAAUUAGCACAUAAUUGCUGUCAUGGUGGAAUGAGAAUUUCGACAAAUAUAUAUUUAAAAAAGAUUGCCCACACUGACUUGAAUCCAUGUGUUGUUUUCUGACCAAACUACCGCUGCCCUUGGAGUAUAGUGUUUCUAAUGACAGUGCACUCUGCAGUAGAAUUGGGGAAGUGGCAAAUGCAGCCCGUCAUGCUGCUGUUGAAGUGGUUUCUGCGCUGCGACACACCCCAUCUAUCCCUCAGGCUCUUCAUCCAGGAACCACGUAUCAGCCCACCACCACUCCCCCUCAUCCUUCCCAGCCAGCUCUGAAUGAAAGAGAAAAUAAAGAGAUCUAAAUGUCAGCGGGGAGCUGAGUGCAUUCCUCUCGCCGUGUCCCCAGACCGGUCACCCAGAACAACUUGUGAUCCUGGGACAAAGCUGACAACAGCAGGUGGCCAUAUAAAGAAAUGUUCCUCCCAGAAUUAGAUCUUAUCCCAGAGAAGUACCAUUGAGUCAUAGAUAAUACGCCCCCCCCCCCCCCCCCCCCCCCUACAUUUCAUUUCAAUUUCUUUACACAACGAUGCUUUUCAUCUUGACCAGGGUGAGAUGACAGGGCUGCGGCUAUGAAAUAAAUGGGAAGCAGUUGAAAGGCGGAAUUAUCCCCUCGACCUGCAACAUUGCUUAGAAUGUCCCACUGUUUCCAUUGAUGGACAUUUGUGGCAUUCUCCAAUGCAACGGGAAAAAAAUAUUUUACAUACACUCAGACACACAGUCACACAAACAGAGACAAAUACAAUCAGACAGGAGUAGUAUCUAUCUUCUCGCUCUCACACACACACAAACUUUAAUCCAAACAGGGCUGGUAUUUUAUAAUUUCAUCUCUUCUGUCUCAUUUUUUCCGAUCCUGUUAUCUAGGGGGCAUAUAAAUGAUGCAUGAGGAUGAAAAUGUCACCCUCAGAAUAAAAAGGAAGCAAUUUUGUUGUUUUCAACUUUCUGCCUUAGUGUUUGCUGCUUUGCAGUAGUGAAAGGCCAACUGAAAGAGCCAAGCACUUCAAAGUGAUGGGCGCAGGAGAGACAUAAUUCACACUGUGUGAUCCGAACUGAGUUAUGUCUAAGUGACAACUGACUGAUCAGUCGCAAUUGUAGCUAAUUCUGGAUAUCAACGUUUCACAAUUGUACCAGACAUUACUGAGCCUUCAACUUGGACUGACGCUUGCAAUAAGAUAAUCCCUUCCAUUAAGUCUGCUGUUAAGUCGCGGGAGUCUCAUUUUCAGCCAUGUUGUUGGUUGUGCAAAGUGCCAUCAGAAACCUGGAAACAAAGUUAGUAUGCAUCGAGAAACAAAAACUUGAGUAAACCAGUUAUCCAGGGAAUCCGAUCCGUCGUCCCCAUCAUUCGAGAAGAUACCGCAAUGGGGCCCAAGACAGACCCGAGGGGUGAUGAUAUGAUUAAAACCUGUAAAGUAUGUGUUUCUAAAUGGUUCAGAAUUGAAAGAAAUAAAAAAAAACUCAGGAAUAUGGGUUAUCAAACAAAGCGAAGUCAUGGAAACUUGUCAUAAGUAAUUAUGACUUUGUGUGUUUCUCAGCAAAAUGAUGAUGUAUUGUAGGAAUUUUGCCUUUUUGGGGCCUUUUUCAUAUGCAAAAAGAUGUUAAAUUUGGCAUGCAUAUCACGACUGGUGAAAAUUUGAAAAUUUUGCGGCCUUGCAUCUGGGUAUAAGAAAUAUCUCUAUAGUGCCUCCUAGAAAUUUGAAAAGUAUCACAUUAGGCCAGUUUUUCCGCCCGGUGUCCGAUUUAUUUGAAAUUAGGCACUAGAUUUUCCGCCAUUUUGAAUUUUGUCAUAAACACAUUUUGGCCCAUUUCUCCUAAAUUCUGUGUCACGAUUGUCACAAAAUUUUAUGUGGAUCAUUAUUAUAAAAUCGUAUUGAUAUCUUGUGGUUUUGAGGGGUAAUGAACUUUGCAAGGGGUGUAGCUUAAUCUGGCAAGACAAAUAAUUAACUAAUUAAUUGGCCUGUCCUCACCAAAAUACAUGAACAUAUGUAAACAUUGGACCCCUGAACACACACUAAUUUUUUAAUAAUAUUUGAAGACUUGACUUGAAUAUUUGAAGGCGCUGCAGUUAAUCGUUGAAAAUCUGCCCUUUUAGCCUAUUUUUUUCAAUUUUUAGGGUUGUAAAAGACCGAACUCCUCCCAAAGAUUAGUUCACCAAUGUGGCCAGUCUGGUCUUUAGACCUUUGCCUUUAAAAAUUGCAUUAAGCUUGAAAAAAUAUUAAACUAUGUGAGCAUGGUGCUUUGGCAAAAUACUACAAUUUGCCAUGAAAAUUGAAGUUGUUUAAAAUCGGGCAAAAAUGAUCUAAGCUGCUCCAUAUUUCAUAUUUCUAGUGACCUCCUUACCCUGUAGACAUCCAUAUAAUUUUCAAUAUCAGUCAUAGCGCCACCUGGUGGCAACAUUAAGUUACAUGGUUUUUACAUACUUUAAUCACAUCCCUCUAAAAUGUAGUCAGAAAAGACCUAAGACCUUGAUAAUGUUAGUUUCCAAAAAGUUACUCCCAGUUUCCAUCAACGCUGUUAACGACGACUGACUCAUGGACGCUUUGUCCGACGGCCGCAGGCGUUCGCAGACACGUUUAUAGCCGUCCAGCCAGUGCCCCUACGUGCGCGAGUAGCAGGCACCUGUCCAUCGCUGCUUGCAGCUUCAAUUGGCGUUGUCUCUUCUCCUAUCAUACUUCUUUUAAGCAGUGUCGCUGUGUUCCUAGACAAUUACAAAAAAACGGUGGUGGCCAAAACUUCCCAAAUUCAAUCAAAAAGUUACAUUAUCAGACAAAAACCCAGAUGAUGUAUGGUAAACUGUCUAUGUUUUAAGUGUUUGGUAUUUCAAGAUUCAUGCUGGUAUUUGAAUCACGUCUGGGUUCUAUAUUACUCAUAAAACGUUUCAGAAAGUUUCUCUUGCAGAUAAGAAUGCAAACAUUCAAACAUAUUGAAAAGAACCAAUAUCCAUCAAAACUCCAUGGCUUCAUCAAUUUUUUCAUGGCAGGCAGCUCAAAGGGCUUUUUUGCAUCUUGACAUCCCUUGAAUCUGUUGAGUAGCCAUUCUAUUUUUUGAUCCAUGCCCAUCGACAUUAGACAUUGUGGAUUCCUGCUGCAGACCAAAGUAAAUAUCUGAAAAGCUCAAACUACUUUCAUUUUUUUUUGAUGGAUAGCUUUGCUAUAAGAACCGUAAACUGGUUUUGAGCCCUAUUAUGCGCCAAAGGCCAAGUUUGAGCAACCGUGAAUGACUUAUAAACCUAAAAUGCAUUAUUUACAAAUAGAAGCGCGCAAUUGUGUAUUUGGUUUGGACUUUGUCAUCAGGGUUCAUUUAAUCCAAGAACAUGCUCAUAGCCUCAGCGGAAGACUCAUGGAAUGCUAUUAUGUUUCACUCUAAAUUGCCUCAAAUGCAACACCAGCCCGUAAAUUUAAGAUCCACAUGCAUGUGUGUGAUGUUAUGUGGGUUCAGUGCAGCUCCAGCCUAGGAAAAAAGUCAGUUGCCAUUGGGAUUGAAAUAAUUCUAUAUUAGCAGGGUUGUCUCUGAAAUCCCAAGCCCGGAUGCAAAACUGAGGGGCGUUUCCACGGAGUAGCCUGGAAUUUCAUUAGCCAACCCAGGUACUACUCCAUUAUAAUUGUCCAUAAGCCCCCGUUAGAAGUGGGGGCUAAAUUUGAACUGUUUGACGAGUAAACCAAACCUUCGUUUACAAGCGCAAUCAGGGUGGUUCCAAAAAUGUUCUUAUGUGUGUCGCGUACCUCCAGAAUUCUAAGCUUGGAAAACUAAACUCGGGGACGGGGGUCAAGAAUUUGUUUAGCUAUCAUAGCACCCCCAUUCCGAUUAUCUAUCCGCCCUAAUCAGAGGAGGGGGCUUAGUUUUAAUAGUUUGACAAGUAAACUGUGAUUGAUGGAGAGGGUGAAUGGAAUGUGCCUUGACAGCACUUGCACAUAUGUGGGAUUCACGCUAAAUACUUUAGUCAACUGGGAAACUUUCCUGGGCGGAGUUGUAUAACUAGUAAUAUUUCAGUUGUCAAGCUGAAAGCUAACAACAGAUAAUUACAUCCACUUGUAUUCCUUUCAGUAUCCUUUAAAGUAGUGGUCACCAACCUAUAUGCGAACAAUUUAAUAAGCACUAAACUCAAUCACGUGGAUAUAGCCACAGUGGAAUAGAAUGGACACAUCGGAACUCUACAACAGUCUCUGCACCGGUGAGAUCAAGUCUCAGUUUACUCAAACGGUCCUCGCUUUGCUUUCCGCUCUGACAUGAUUUGAAUCAGUCUGAAGUGUGUCUACUCAGUUGCAUGCCCUUAUAAGAAGCUGGCGGGGCGUUUCUGUAUACGAAUCCAGCUGCACGAGAACGUGCGUUUGGGUGAGCAGAGCUGAGAACACUCCGGCAGUGAUCAGCCGUUCUUGAAUCAGAUCUUUUCUGACGUUGGUCUUUCGAGGUCCGUAACAAAACAUUUCAGAAGACACUGCAGAAAAUGUUUGAGAAUGAUAAACAAUGUGUUUAUGAAUUUAUAUUUGUUUUUUUUUGGAGAUUGACCUGGAAAGUCUCUGAGAUAGACCCGUCGAUUUGGCGACCUCUGCUUUUAAGUGACUUAAAUGGCUGUAACAGAUUUUAACCAUGGUAUCUGCCUACCAUGUUGAAUUAGAAAUGUUUCUACCUUCAAAAGUUAUCAGUAGGGUUAGUCAAUUAAAAAAACUGAAAUACUAUAACAAGUGUUUUAUUUGAAUGCAGUAUUGAUAUAGAAUGUGCCUAAAGAGCAUUGUGUCAUCCUUGGUGACUCUGCUCUCUAUCUGCAAACAGAGCCAGAGCCAGUCAAUCUGCUAUCCCAGCCUCACCUUUCCCGGAUCAUUUACUGGUUAACACCUGCUACUUUCAUGUCGCUAACUCGCAGGCUGCCCACAAUUGCCUGGCCAAAUGGCCUGAGACCACCUAUUCUGCAGGUCCCCAUUCAGGAUCAGUUGAACCCCGGCCAGGAGCAAACUCUGCCUAAUUGACCCCAUAUGUUCUCCCACAGUUUGGAUCCACCCGCUAGCAGUAUCUACGGUUCACUACCAAAAUGGCUUUUAGUAACGUCAUGCCUGAAUAAGCUCAGUGAUCAAAGAACAAAGAUGGUAUUGAUCAGUAGGCAGCAAGUCCCGGAUAAAAGCUUCCUUGUUUUUGUGGCCGAAAGACAAAUUGUGGUCGAAUGAGCUGAAAUAUUAUUGAAUACAAAAAUGCCAACAAGAUUACGCACAUGAAAUUAACCGAGGCAUUUGAAAAGAUGAAAAAGACACACAUUAUUUUUAUUUGGGACAACUUAAUGUGUGUUGUGUUUAUCUUGUCAGUACAGUGUGUCCUGCAGCCUGCGCACGGCCUUAAAGGGACAUAUCUGCCAGACGGGGGACAAGCAGUAGCUGGCAGGACUGUUGGAAAUCAGCAUCUAUUGGCAGCUGCACAGCACGGAGGAGCUGUUGCUCUGUGUGGCCUUCACUUCCACUUGUAAUUUAUCUGCAGGUUGUUACGGGAUUUUGUAGAAACAGUCUGGAACAUUUGCUAAUAAUUAUGUUUCCGAUUUAUUGCUCUUUAUUGCACAAAAUUAUGUAAUAAGUUUGUCAAAGCUUUGCAUUCACUGCUCUGAGCAUCUGUUCAGGUUUUCUGGGGAGAAACAAACAACAAAUUAGAGGAUAUGUGUUUCUGGCAGCAGCUAAAUUCAUCUCUUUGAGAUGGUGAACAAAAUACACAUGUACAUUCUUACAUGUUGUGUGUUGACUUAGCUUAAUCUUAUUUCUUCAGAUAAUUGGUAGCGGGGUUAGCUAUUUCACUUAGGGUUCGGGUUAGGGGUUUCAACCCUAAAUUGUGAGAACUGGUUCUUCACCCAGUGGGGUGGAAGGGGUUAGGGUUAGUGAAAUCCUCUUCAGAGCAAUGAUGAUUUAGUGGGAUUUUAGGUUAAAUUGUUUUACCCUUUUUGAAGACCUAAACCAGGGAGACUCCCUGGUAUAGAAUACUCGUUUCUCUACUCCAUGGCACCCAAGCCAAUGAGUUUCGACUUCAAAGGUAUAUUACACAGAGAGUUUGAAAUGGCACAGUAAUUCCCUACUGUUUUAGUAAACAUUACUGAAACAGUGGGAUAUAGUGCAGCUGCUGGUGCCUGUUUCGAGCAGGCGGGUUCAUACAUAUUUGGUGCUCUAGUGCUGGAUCUUGAUGCCAGUCCUCUCUAUUUACUUAUUAAUGUGUACUUUUUGAGUGUUUCUAAAAUUACAUUUUGAAUCCUGUGGCCGACUAUUGUAGAUAAUGUACAUCAUACGUUUCACAUUUGGUCCUGGAUUUGGACUCUGGGAAUAGUAACGGUUCUUGUGACGUCCUAGGUUACUGAUAGCAUUGAUACCCAACAUGGCCGAGAAGGGAAAAAAAUUAACUCCACUAACACAAAGCCAUAUUCAUAAAACCACCCAAAUCUGAAGAAGGCCCAUCAUCAUAUUGGCUUUUGAUUUGUUUUAAGGUUACCACCAAAAAAAAGUAUGUUUUUGUUCGUGAGUGGGAGGGGAGACAACAUUUCAAAAGAACUCAUUGGUAGAUACAAACAGCUCAGCAUCUGUGGCAUACCUCCCAUAGUGCCAGAGGAGAGAACCAGUUUUUCAAAAUAGCUCCCUUAAACUGUUCCUCCAUCAAACCACCGCAGAGACAAUCUGGAACAAAUUGUGAUCUAACUCUUCCUGGAAUUUCAAGGACCUGCCUAUACAAAUAUCAGCAAUUUAAGGGGAACCAAAUACAAGGCAAAGCCCUUGAGCAAGAGCCAACACUGUACGAGCUGUCAAAGAGGAAGAUGUCCUUAAAUCAUACCAGAUAAUUACUGUCGAUUAACUUUAUAAGGAUGCAGAACAUUUUUUGUUUUUUUUACAUCUGAUUAGGUGCUCAUCAUAACACAACAAAAUGGCCUACAAAUAUUUAUCACCGUAUUUUCACAGCUUUGUUUUUAAUUGCCUCGUUACGGGGCCCAAAUAAUUAGUCCCUCAAAAUGUGUGUGUGUGUGUGUGUUGGGGGGAUGGAGGGAGGGGGUUUGACUGUCAGAUGACAAUCAUGAGAAUGGGUCUGAUAGCUGUAUCCAUCAAGUCUAAUGUCAUUCCGGUUGCCCUGAGCAACACAGCAUGCAUGGAGAUAUACUGUAAUUUCAUUACCUCAUCCCACAUGAGUAAUAAUCCGAAAUGUCUCCCAAAGCAGUUGCAAAGUGAAGCAUCACAAGUUUCCAUCUCUGAGGGGCGAGAUUAGAGAGAAAUUGUUAACCAAAUGCUUUGUGGAGAAAUGACCUCUCCCUGGGACUCAUGAUGGAACUCUGUUUUCAACAUGUAUGAAAAAUGAUGCGAAACUCAAUGCCUCAUAACCUCAAACCAAAAUUACCUCCUUUUUUAAGAGUAAUUCUAAGAUUUGGGCUUAUUAACAUUCAUUUUUCCAAAAGUAAGUUGAGAGGAUCAAUGUCAGUCUUGUGUCCAUGUGACACAUACAGUACAUGUAGUACAUGGACACAAGACUGACAUGUACAUCUGGAGUAGACUAAUUUUGAUUUAAGAUUAGAAGCACGAGAAACAGGUACCAUGUCAAGUUUAAAAAGAAAUAUGUCUACCAGCAACUCUAAAAAAGAACUAAGUGCAAAACAAUGACAGUUAGGACUCAUAUGCAUUGGAUCUGUUUUUUAGUGAACAGCCAGUUCAAGUAGACCCUGUUUGAACCAUUAACUAUUCAGAGAUCCAACCCAUCAACUCAGCAACAAUAUAUGGCAACCUGCACCAUGACCUGAGGAAAUUCUAAUGUUGCUUUAGUUGCUCUUAAAAUCACACAUUUUAAUUUACCUCUAUUGUAAUAUUGUGGUUUGGGGACGUUAUGAAGACAGUCAAUCUAUGAUAUCUUGGAAAAAUAAACCAUAAUUACCACUGAAUAAAUACCAGUAGAGAUAAAUUACUGGUUAGAUUUAGAUUAGCUCUUAUUUCGAGGUCAUUUUAAUGAUUCUCUCAUUUUUUAAAGCACAAUGCUUCAUCUUGUUAUUUGUUUAUUUAGAGGUCACCCAAUGUUGAUUUUUCUCAUUGUUUGUUAUUUCCUGCUUUUGUCAUGGAAUUUUUGUUGUGUGAAUCAUGCUGGCUGUGCUUGCUCUCAGACCUGCUGUGAAAAAGAGGCGGAUGGAGGCCUCAUUUCCCGUCCCAGGCCAGUGAACUCAAACAGUGAGCAGCUCUGUCCCAUUGACAGGCUGUGAUGAAGUGGCCUUUAAGACGACUGACCAGCGCACACGAUGGAUGGGAACACAUAUGCAUGUGUGCAGGCGGGGCACCUGUACUUCGUCUGCCAUGUGACAUCGCCCUGCUGAGGUAUUUCCUGGUUCCUGGAGUCAUCACUCUUCUUCACAUUGUAAAGUAUUUUCUAAAGGUUUGAUGAAUAUAUGUUCUGCUUCUCCUCCUUGUUCUUCUGCAACCAUUUUUGAAAGAUUGCCUGACCUACAUCCUGUUUGAUGAAAGGUGACAGCAAUUCUUAUGCAGAUAAUAGUUUAUGUAUUGUAGUAGUUUCUUUGAAAUAAAGAAGGAAGAGCUGGAUAGUUAGUAGUGCAUCAUGACAAAUGACCAAAAUUACUACUGAGCUGAUAAACAAUAGUUGUUGCAUCUGGUGAUUCGUCAGCCACAUGUAAUCUGGCAUCUGGAUUUCCGCCGCACAUUGUAUUGCCAUGGACAGAAUUAACAAGCGGAAAUUGUGAAUUGAAAGAAAGGUCCGAAAACACUUCAUCCACAAAUACAUUCUGAAUUGCCAAGUUGUUCGAUACUUUUGAUAAUCAAAAGCUCUUUCAUAGUGCUCAUUUAGGGAGUGACUGUCUUGAGGAGUCCAAGGCCAGAGGAAAUGCAGAAACUGCCAACCAGGCAGACCCAGGGCUGAUAAGGUUGAGAUUUAGAGACACACCAAGCACCAUACAACACUCAUGCUUUGUUUGUUAUCUUCACGUUAUGUUAGAAGACCACACAUUGCAUGUGAUUGGAUCUUGUGUUGUGGCUAGAGGACCUGCUCCUCCUUGAUGCCAGUUUAGGGCCAAUAGAAAUCUUUUCUUUUAUAUCUAACAAGAAAUACAAAAUGUAAUGUUUUUCCUUAUGUUAGUGAGUUGUUCUUCCGGCCAGCGUGCUGCCAGAACUGCUCCUGCCUUUGCAAACGCAGCGCUUAUACUUGACCUGUGAUCUGACAAAUACAACUACCAGAACGAGAGAAGUUGUUUGGCUGAAUUUGUGCAGAAUAACCCCAACAGGGCUUCCAAUUUUGUUUGCGAUUUUUCACUUUUACUUAGUCAAUGUUAAUGCCAAACCAAAGAGCUUAGCCCAGUUGGCCACUUAAUAUUUAUUUGACCCCAAACCACGAUCACGAGCAUACAACAAACCAACCAACCAAGUAAAACUGAAAUCUAAAUAAAGUUUAUUUAUAAAAUAAUUAGUUUAUUAUUUUGACUUGACACAGUUCUCCAAGAGCCACAGGUGACAUACCUCUGAUGUCAUAUGACUUACGAGGAGUGAAAUGGAUAUUACGGAAUUAAUGUGAGUGAAUUAAUGGAUAUUAUUUUAGAAAUGAUUUAGGUCAUUUUGCAUCUCCAUAGCACCUGACCUCAGAAUAUUUAUUAAAUUAAUGAAUCUGUAUGAUUAAUACUGUGUCCAGUGGCUAUUGCCUUUUGUCCAAUAGAAAUUAGUAUUAAAUAGCAUUACCACUUCAAAGUUUGAUUCCUGUACAGAUAUAUAGAAAGCAUGCAAUUAUCAUGAAUGCUAAUAACAAUUCCGUUGCUGAUGAAUACAUUAAACAGAGUGUGUAGCCCAUUAUCUGUGCUAAUCUAAAUUGUGUGCUAUUGUCAGGGGGAUUUAAGAACAGCAUGAAAACCAGGAACUGUCAGCAUUUGGACAAAUUCCAGGAAUAUGCAGCUUUUCAAACUGUGAGUUCAGAACAGAACUUGUCAAUACAUAUUCAUUACAACAAGCUCUUAACUCACGGCACAUGAGUGGCAAAGCCGCUGUAAUGCUGUCUCUCCUCCUCAUGAUCUAUUAUUAUUUUAAUCAGUAUUGAAACAACCAUGUAAACAAACACUUCAUCCGUUUAGUUGGAAACAGUGGCGUCGCGGCGCUGCUCAGAAUUCAAAUCUGUGAAACUGUAAUGUUUUCUCAUGGUCCGGGCCGCCUUGCUUUUGUCCUCAGAGGGACUCCUCGCGAGAUGUGUGACUUGAAUAACAGGCACGGAGCUGGCCCCUCGCUGCAGAGGGAAAAUAGAGUUAGAAGAGAGAGAUAGGAAGAGACCUUCAGUGUGUCAUGGCAAGGUUUCUACUUCAAGAGCUGGUGUUCUCUGGGGACAGAUAGUCGCUUUAUUCAAGUAUUUGCUGGAAACUUUGCAUAGUGGCUGCUUCAGAUAGCAAGUAAAGGUAAUAUUUGAAUGGUUUGAUCCCCGGAAAUGGAGAAAUCCGAGUGCACAGAUUGGUAUAAGGCAAUCAUAAAUUGCACUCAAGUCUGGGAUAUCUUUAUCAGAAAAGGAGAUGAGAACGACUCAACAUUAAUUUUCUGUGAAUUGAGUGCCUACUCACAGCUAAAAGACAGUUUGUACAGUUUGUUGCUUAAUAAAUUACAUUCAUCACUUUUUAUUUUAUGUAAUUUCUACUGUUUAUUUUAUUUUAUCAGAGACUGAACCUAAAUGGCUAAACCAUUAGCAAACAUCAUUGAUCAAAACUAAACCACGUAGUCCAUAGCAGCAAAAACCCUGUAAUGCAAUUGUGCAAUGGUGAUUGUUAUUUCCUGUUUCAUAGCUGUGUUUUAAGUUGCUUCCCCACCACCGCUCACCCUCCUAACAACCAUCCCUCCCACCAUACCCUCAACAACCUUUCCAAAAUACAGUACAUUGUUCGGUGGAAGUUAGUUGGCGAUCAAUAAAAUAAUUCCUAAAGUAAUUCUGGUUGUCAUUAUAAGUCACAACCACAGGGUUGUACGACUAACGGUAUUCGGACACCAUCACUUUCUAUAUUUGAUUGGCCAAAGCCACGCGGUCAAUACCACAGAUUAACCCCAGUGAAUUCUGGGUGGCAGAGCUAAAUUUGUGUGUAUUCCCUACCUCUGUGAUCGCUUCCCGUCUCCCACCCAUUGCUCAUUAGCAGCUUCAUGAAGGGACUUUUGGGGUAUACGUUGUUGGCAACACUGAGCAGUUAGAACGAUUAUACAGGCCCCAGUUAGAUACAGGAUAUAUUUAUUCAUGUAUGAAAAAAAACUAGAGCUCCCAAAAAAGAGGCCAAAAUCACUUUUCUGUCAGUGAGUCAUGCCUCUCCCAAAACGACUUUUUUAAAGCCUGAUCAAGAACUAUGAACAAUUGAUUUUUUGAUUGGCAUAUGCUGUCCGUUCUAUCUAUCCAGGAGGAAGAGGGCCGUCACAGUCCCUCCAACCCUGCUGUCAGCCUCCCUUACUGAUGCCCAUGCCACCACCAGCUCUGACUGACAGCUUGAUGAACACCCCCCUGAUUAAUGUGACAGAUAAUUGGCCUGAAUGUUGGAACUCCCCUCCAUGCCCCCCCCCCCCCCCCCCGCCGUUUCCACACAGCAGAGGGCACGGUGGGUGUGAGUGCCGUGGUUCCUUUUCACACAAAACCUUAAGAGGUUGAAGUUGAUCUAACAGGCCAGCUGGCAUCAGCAGCAGAUUGAAGCUUUUGGUUCAGUGAUGAAAGGGAAUUUGCCCCAAAAGACAUUUUUUUGAUGAAUUCAAAGCAUUUACAGAGCCUUUGGCGAAUGGAAACAAUGAGCAGUUGUCUGCACACUCCAAGGUCCGUGCCUUCUUUUGCAUUUGAACUCUAACCAACCCACCUUAUUUUGUCAGGUCUAAUACGGUUGAAGACACUCAAAUCCUCCGCUGUGUCAGUUGUCUGAUGCAUAGUUAAAGAGUGUGCACUAUUUUGUAUCCAGGGGCCACUGUCUGGCCCUGUCUGAGCUGUUGCUUACUUGUCAAAAUCAUUGUGUUGCCAUGUCAAGUUCUUUCAUCUGGUGUCAGUGGGCUUCAGCGAUUCACUAUUAAAGUUCUGUUAUCUUGUGGGACCGGGCCAUGAACAUGACAGUUUUCACAGCCUCUUCAGUCAGUCUGCCAGAAAGGCAGGGAGGUGGGCUGCUUUUGUCACCAAGGAUGAAGACAGGACCAAAGGCUGAGGUAAUACCAGUUACCCAUUCCACACAGUUUGCACUGUGAAAUUAUAUUUAAGUUACAAACAAACUCAAAUACAUUUUAUACAUUAACUUACCAAACCUUAAUAAGCAUGUUUUGGGCAUAAAUUCAAAGAAUACCAAGGCCUUUCGUACAAAUGAUGAAAUAGAUAAAAUAGUAUGAAUUGGAGUGCAUUCCAAAAAUUUCAAGGUAAACUGAAGCAAACAAACAACAACGUUUUGUCUUCAAUCCAAUUUGGUAACAGGACUGAAAACAAAACAUUUAAGAGCAAAAAAUCUUCACCAAAAAUUACAUAUUUAUUAUAUCUAUUCUGAAUGGGUCAAAGGGGUUACCAGACCACAAGGAUCACCAUGGUGGUAGGCUUUGGUCAGCUGGCUUUGCUAAUAUCGAUGAUGCUAAUAAUACUGACGGGUUACAAAAUUUCACCAGCUUUGAUUAAAAUGGCCAAUUGAGAGUAAGGUGGUGGGCAUAUGGACAGUCAGAGAAGUGAAACUGAACUUUCAUCUGGUAAUUAUUGGAUGUAAUUCAGCAUGCAACCCUGGUUUAUCAGUGAAGUGUAAGAACUAGACUUCAGACUGGAGUCUCUGCUAAUGAGGCAAGUAGGGAAGACAGCUGUCUCAUUUGAAUGGGUCUAGCGCGGGUCAAACAUGCGUUGAGAACUGCGUCAUAAAGCAACUGUUGUCUGUGUCAGUAAGGUCCAACACUGAUGUUAGGUGGAAAAGGCUUGCUCUCAGAUAGAGUUCCAGUUCAUUCCAAAGUUUAUGGAGGUUGAAAUUAGUGUUAUUUGAAGCACAGUCAAAUUCAUCCACACCAUUUUUUUAUUUUUAGUGAGCUCAGUCCAAAGGGGUUGGAAAAACAUUGAGAAAUAACUUUAUAAUAUAACAUUAUUUCAUAUAUAUAUAUAUAUAUAUAUAUAUAUGAAAUCGUUUAUUUAUUUUAGGUACAGGGAAAAUAUUUGUUUUACACAUUUUAAGUGAACUGUUCCUUUUAAGAGGAUCAUUGUAAAAAUCUGACUUCCUCUCCACAUAUGCUGAGUAACAUCCUGUCGGCAUGAGUUGAAUGCAAAACCACUAAAUAAAAAAAUGAAAAACUGCAAAAGCGAGACACCUAGGCUUUGAAUUUUUGCAUCACUGCCACAGGCGUCGCCAGUUGGUUGCUUUGUAAUCAGACCAGAGGCUGAACUCUUUGCCCACUUUUCAACAGAUGGAGGCCUGGAAUUGAACCCUUCCACAUAACUACCACCUUGCUUCUAGACUUGCCUGUAGAUACAGGAAAGACCGAGCUGUAAAACUGAAAAAGUAUCUGUUGACUGAAAUUGAGCACACGGUGGCUAAGCUACUCUCAGGGAAUGUCUGUGUCAGCUGUUUGAUUGGUCGCUUUAGCAGUCACAUACAGUACUGGAGCUGCAGUUUUAAUGUAAUUUGUUUACUUUUUGCUUUACUUUAAACACUUUAAAACUAGCAUCUUCUAAUUUCCGGUUAAAUCGUCUGUCCACUUAUUGAAAACAUUUGCGUAUUAUAUUUUACGGCUCUAGCUCCAUACAUUUGUACAUAUAUUUCACGUUAGACUCUUACCUUAUGGAAGUGCAAGUGGAUGUUUAUGUUUUAUAUAUGAGUUGUGUAGUCAUUUGAUUGCUAACGUACUCUCAGUUUGGCAGUCCCAUUAAAACUACUGGAAUUAUGUGUAAAAGGGAAACUCUGAGUGGUUGCUUUUUAACAACCACAUUUUGGCCAUUUCUAUCACUUAGUGGAGAAAAUAUUAGUGUUAGGUUAACUGAAUUAGGCAAAACUGUUGCAGUUAUUUUCAAGGUUUAAUGUCUUUAAUUGUAUUAACUUCAAAUAUUAUUUAUUUUUCCCCACAUUGGACCAAUGAAAGAACUGUUAAAAUGCUACAACAUUAACUAAUUUUUUUUAAAGAAAAUAUGCAGGGAGCCAGCCAAACCCGAAACCCAAGCACCAAUAUUUGAGGUGCUGGAAGGGAGAACAUUUUGGCUUUACAUACUGUUGUGUAUUAAAAUAAUGUAUUCAUAUCCUGUUGGUAUGAGCAUGUAACACAUCUAUCAGCAGGUAACAUACCUAAUGUUCUAUGGUGUCUUAUACCUCGGUGAUCAAUCAAAGAAAGGAAAACAUUGACUCACACCAUGAAUACCAAUUUUUUCUCAACAAGUAGGAAUUGGUAUUGUUUUGGCACAAUAAUACUUGUCGAAGAUUACCAGUAACAGAGGAAGAUAGGGUCCACAGAAUCCAUGAAAAAUGAUUUAAGGUCCCAACGGGAAUUUGUCUCAGUGUCUUCUUUUAUUUCCCCCCUUGCAGAAACGUUGAGGAAGGAAAAUACAUCAAAUGGAGAAAUGAGGGCCAAUGUAGGCCAUGAGCAGAGGGGAUGCUUAAUCAAUGCUGUUGUCAUUUGUUUGAGCUCAGAUAGCGCUUAUCAUAUUUACCGUUAUUGUCUUUUUUUAUCGGGAAAACCCAAACUGAUAGAGAGUCUAAUCAUUAGGAUUAGCAUGUUCAUUCAGCUUUAUUAUACGAAAAAAUCUUAACCUACACAGCAAUAUUCUCCCAUGUUUAUUUCAAUCUAAUGCAGAAUCCAGCAGCACUGGUAUCCUUAAACUGUCGUUUAACACAACCCUGGUCCUGUUCUUUAGUCAACUCAGCCAUCCUAUCGCCAGAGACGAGAACCAAACAAUGGACAUCACUAAGGCACCUCUAUGACAAUUCAUCAGCAGCGGCUUCAAGAGCUUUCCCGCCAGUUUUAUCAGUAAACAGCCAGUGAAUAUGCUGUUAAACAAACAGCCAUCCAAACAGGACCACCGUGCCUAACAUCAUUACUGUAUGUCUGUGUCCUCAGCUUGUCGACGGGAAGAAAGCGGCAGCCUCGUCUCAUAUGGGGAAUCAAACCGUACCAGAAUUCUGAUCUGACUUGGACCACAUCCCAGAAAGCAGCAGAGUUAAUAGCCUUCCACUCUAUUGAAUAAUGCUUUGAAUCCGUAAUGUAAGGUAUACACAGGAGUGCAGUCUAAUGUGCCAGCAAGGGUACUUCAUUUCCUCUGCUGCGGAAAGCUGAAAAUGUUAGCUUAUUUCUUCAAUUUAAGGGGAGCUCUAAUUGAACAGACUGUUUCUAGACAGUAAUUCAUCUCCAAGCAUCAUCAUGGCCUCUUCGGCACUUGUCCCUGAAAAAAACGUUUUUUUACAUAAAGGGUAGAGAAGAAAAGCACCCCUUCUGAAUCUGCAGUGGUCACAGAGAAGGUGCAAAAAUAGCAGGUUAUUACAACACAAAAAUCUAAAAUGAGUGAAUCAACUUUGAGCCUGGACAUCUUGAACUAGCAGAAGCUAGCAGGGUAACCCUAUUUGAUAGUUAUUGGACACAAUUUGUCUUAAAAACCUCAAAUUUGAAGGACAUGACUUUUGCUUCCUUGAUGUUUGCUGGGGCUAUGAUUGUUAACAUGUGGUGCAUUCCAAUGAGCCAUGCCGAAAAUACAUAACAGAGAAGAUCUUUCACAAUAUUUGCAGAAGACCAUAGGCAAUGUCAUUUUCACAGUUCAAAGUCAAACUUUAUUUGGAGAGCACAUUUAAAAACCCCAUUGACAAAAGUACUCAACAAACUAAAAAAACCAGAAGAAAACAAGCUCAACCUCAGAUAAAUUUCAAAAGCAACUUAAAUGUUUCUGUGGACUGAGUGUUUUGCCAAUGAAUAGGUGAGCUGCUAGGGGAAUGGCAUCAGGAGCAUUCUAUUGGUCAACCUCUGUGCUUUAACUAGUAAGUAAGUAUAAAAACGCUAUUUUGUCUAUAAAAGUUUGCACCAUCCUAUUUAAAACAAGCAAUAUAAUUUCAACAUCAAACAGACAGGAAGUUAGUGGAAGGAGGCCAACACUGGUGAUUUGUGAUCCUCUUUUAUUUUCCAGCGAGAAGAUGAGCAGCUGCACUUUGUACUAAAUGCAAACCAUAAAAGAAAACUGUUCAACACUUACAUACAAUUACAGUAGUCCAACUGAGAGGUAAACAAAUAAUAAAGACCUCCCUUGAGAUAUUUUGGAGAGAGUUGGGCUCAGAUCCAUUACCUCAGAUGUAUGUCUUAAUUGGAAAAGCCUUUCAAUAACUUUCCUGAUUUGUUUAUUAAAUUUGAAGAAUUUGUUAAAAAUCAUGCCACAUUUUUAAGUUUGAUCAUGAGAACAUAAACGGCGUGUGAGGCCCUGAAAACAUAAUGAUUGAUUGAUGAUUUGGUCGUAUUUGAAUUGAGAAAGUUUAGAUCCUUCCAAGUUUGUACAAAUGAAAAGGCUACAAUUAUUAUUUUCCAUAUUUUCCAUGGAGAAUAUUUGCCAAGCUUAACCAAAAACCUUGUAGUAUGACCCAGAGUGGUAUAAAGACCCUGUGAUCCACAUUGUGUACAGCAGAAGUCUAAAAGCAACAGUUUCCUGACUGAACAGUUGAGAGCAGAUCAAUCAUAAUAGGGGCAAAAAAAAGCUUUUGUGCACAAUGAACAAAGAACGUUCCGUCAUUACAAUACAGAAUGUUUGGAGUAAAACUACGAGUACAACGUUGCAUUAGUUAAAGACGGAGCUUAGAAAAAGAAGACAUUUUUCCACCCGUCUUGUGUCCUCUCGAGCUGACAGUACAGUAUAUGUUUGGGCAGACCCCGGUGCCUCAGCCUGAGCUUGUCCACAUGCCAAGCAUUACUGUCGGGGCCACCUGUUGAAAUUGUGGGUGGCUAAUUCUAGUGGUGACUUCUGACUCCCUCUCCAUUACACUCCAUCUGACGGACCACCAGCUACACCAACCAACCACUAACAGCAUUCCACUCUCCUUCCACAGCCCCCCUCACUCCCGCAUGCUCCUAGCAGGCACCCUGUAAGGCAGCCCCCCUUGAUUGAUGGAGUAUCCAUACUCAGGGUUACUUUACACUCCUGAAUAAUGCAUGAAAUGAUGCCACCAGUCCAUUCGGCAGCUCAAAAUGGGGUGAGGCUUCUGUGUUGGAAGAAUCAAAAAGUUUUCCUUCUCCUUGC
Gasterosteus aculeatus aculeatus (three-spined stickleback) is the source of this 24039-nucleotide long non-coding RNA. Lineage: Eukaryota; Metazoa; Chordata; Actinopteri; Perciformes; Gasterosteidae. The record is from Ensembl.